GUGAAUGCUUGCUGAAAAUAAAGAGCCUUCCUUUAAUAAAGUUAAAAAGAAGAAAAGAAAGCGCAACUUGGAUACAUAACAAAACAAAUAAUAUGAAAAGGAUCGAUCCCAAACCACCCCUUCCACAGAAAUCAUUCAACCCCUUUACAAGCAGAGUUAGAUCUCAUUACUGAAACGAAAUUAACCAUAAAAUCACAGCAGCAACAACAGAUUUAUCGCUAUUGGUUCCAAAGCAAAACAGAAAAUGAUGCUACAGUAUCACACAUAUAAGAUAGAGAGAGACUAGCCAGUGUAGACGUGGACUCCAAUUGCAAUUAGGAAGAUAGUGAUGAGACCAAAAUAGAUAAUAGCAUGAACAACAAUAGAAGCGCCACUUGUCUGCAUGUUCCCAAACUCAACCACCCUAUUCUUUCCAGGUAUCUGAAACAACAGCCCUGGCGUUAACAGCACGAACAGCACCACUGCUAUUAGCACUGGCCCCCAAUCUGCCAUCCCCUUUUCCUUUCGAAACAGAGCCUACCGAUGAAUACUAAACAAAGAUCUAGCCAAUGGAACGAAACAGCUAGCUGACUCUUCGACAACUGCAUUCACAUGGAUGCUUCUCGUGAGUCGUGAACUGAAAUGGACUGGAUGCAUCCCAAUAAAUGCGUUUCAACGGUUGUGAUCUUAUUGGGAAAAACAUUUUUUUUCUCGAUUAGGGCCAUCUGUGCAUGGGCUUCUUUUGUUUACUACUGUAAUGGGUUUAAAACUAGGAUAUGCCCUGCCCAUGAAAUUUAUAGAAUACUCCAGUCCACAGCAUCAACAAAUGGGGAAGAAACAGAUACAGAAAUGGUAAACAAAGAAAAAUGCAAACCAUGAGAAAACGGGGAAACAGUAAGCCCAUUACAAAAAAUAAGACAGAUCCAACAAGCUGCUUGUACUAUUGAAUCCACAUUCGCCUGUAACACAAUCUUAACAAAUUAAUAAAAGAAUGUAAAGAUUACAGCUCAUCUCCGAGUUGGAACGAUGCUGAUUUUUACUGGCCCGUGUAGAUGCGAAUGCCAACUGCUAGAAUGAGGAUGGUAAAGACUACAAAGAAGAUGAGAGUGUGAACAAGCACAGCCUUCCCAUUGGUCUUGAAGCUGCCAAAUUCCACAUGCCUGGUGCUCCCUGGUAGCUGGAAUAUGAGGCCAGGAGAAAGAAGUAUGAAUAAUAGAAAUCCCACUAAUAUAGGUGCCCAAUCCGCCAUUGCUUAAUCAGCUUUCUACUCCGUUUGAAAAUGUACGAACAAGAAUGCUUGAUGCAAUUGAAAGAGAAGCAUAAGCGAAGGGCAGUCUAUUUCAGUAAUAUAUGCGAAUCCAUUUAUGCUGUGUGUGCAUUACAAAAGUGGGGCCGGACAGGAACAUGUUUUCUGAAACUCUAGCAUUCUUUUCAUGGAAGAAAUGUAUCAAAUCAUUUGAAUGAAAGACUUCAAAUUAUGGUUGGAAUCUGUUUUUAUGUUCUUACAUAACCACUCACAAUUCAAGUCUCCAUUUUUCCUCCAGCACUUGAACUAAAUGCUCACGCAACGGACCUUUUAAUAGCGUUUCUUUUAAAUCAAAGAAACUAGGGAGCCCUUUAAGCAUCUUCUCCUUCGAAAAAUUCUUUUCAUCCGUAUGGCUUAAUGCCCGCUUGAGAAAGAGGAGAGGGGCCAAAUUAAAUGGGGGAGAAAAG
RNAcentral lists this unclassified non-coding RNA (1692 nucleotides) under Hevea brasiliensis (rubber tree). The record is from RNAcentral. Lineage: Eukaryota; Viridiplantae; Streptophyta; Magnoliopsida; Malpighiales; Euphorbiaceae.